RNAcentral lists this unclassified non-coding RNA (391 nucleotides) under soil metagenome. RNAcentral describes it as "partial contains 5.8S ribosomal RNA, internal transcribed spacer 2, and large subunit ribosomal RNA". The stretch from base 1 to 122 matches the Rfam family "5.8S ribosomal RNA", at positions 35 to 154 of the family's 154-position model. The record is from RNAcentral.
GAUGAAGAACGCAGCGAAAUGCGAUACUUGGUGUGAAUUGCAGAAUCCCGUGAACCAUCGAGUCUUUGAACGCAAGUUGCGCCCGAAGCCAUUAGGCCGAGGGCACGCCUGCCUGGGCGUCACACGUCGUUGCCCCCCCAUCUACUCCUUCGGGAUUGCGGGGGGCGGAUGAUGGCCUCUCGUGCGCCUCGUCGCGCGGUUGGCCUAAAUGCCAAGUCCUCGGCGACGCACGCCACGACAAUCGGUGGUUGCGAAACCUCGGUUGCCUGUCGUGUGUGGUCGUCGCGCAUCGAGGGCUCGAAAAAAUUGCCGGGCUUCGGCUCGACUUUCAACGCGACCCCAGGUCAGGUGGGGUUACCCGCUGAAUUUAAGCAUAUCAAUAAGCGGAGGA